RNAcentral lists this microRNA precursor (109 nucleotides) under Otolemur garnettii (small-eared galago). RNAcentral's name for it is "miRNA (ENSOGAG00000027775.1)". Lineage: Eukaryota; Metazoa; Chordata; Mammalia; Primates; Galagidae. The record is from RNAcentral.
CCGGGGGGUGUCCCAUGAAUCUCUCUGGGGCCUCCAAAAUGUUGUGUCCCCUAUGACCUGAAAAGAUAGAGUCAGACACCCACUUAGUGUAAUUAAUUGGUAAUUUAUU